AGGUGAAUAGACUUCUACAGGUGUUCUGAUGGACCUCACUGUCAGGAUAACCUUUCACCUUGUUUGAAACAGAGGAGAAGUGAAUCACAAUAAGGAACUGAGACUAAAUGCUGCCCUGUGAAAAUUUAACAUGCAUGGAAUACAGAGGAGGGGAAGCAGCUUCACUCAUCAAAAGUCAGUUAUAGCUGAUCCAUACUGUUGAAAUUUCACCCAAAGGACAAAAGUGUGAUUACAGCAAUGUA
Long non-coding RNA from Saccostrea echinata, 242 nucleotides. RefSeq lists it as uncharacterized. Lineage: Eukaryota; Metazoa; Mollusca; Bivalvia; Ostreida; Ostreidae. The transcript has 3 exons. The record is from RefSeq and is a predicted model, not a curated record.